AGAACAGAAGAGGACGUCAUAACUCCACCUUACAUCUGAUUGUUGUGGCAGGAGCAGGGAAAUUAGCAGUUGCUACAACAAUCACUGUUGUUCUCCUGGUUAUCAUUUCCCUCUGUCUCUUCCUGUGGAUCAGGAAAAAGAGGGCUUCCAAGGAAUCGUCUAAGCCUGAAGAGAGACCAGACAACAGGGAACAGUUUCUACCUGAACAGCCAGAGGAGCAGGAUAACCUUCAGUAUGCCAGCACUCACUUCACCAACAACCAGGCAGAUCCUCUCUACUCCGACAUCAGACCAGCUCACUCCCUCAGACACACAGAGCAACAAGAUUUCAUGGACUAUGCUGCUGUCAUAUUUAAGAGUAAUACUGCCCCGAGAACCAGAGGUCAGGAAACUGGAGAGGAUCCAGCUGCAUUGUACAGCACAGUCAACAAAACCUAAUGACCAAAACAGAUAUUGCAUUUACAAAUUUACAAAUGAAUUAUAUGCCCUAGAGAAACUUACUUUGUUAUUUACACUGCAUGGGUCUGCUUUUUAGAAUAUGUAAAGUAUUUUUUGCAUUCACCUUUAAAUAUAAUUUGUCUGACUUUUGUAACAUUUAGUCUUUUC
Molecule: long non-coding RNA, 605 nt
Organism: Micropterus salmoides (largemouth bass)
Lineage: Eukaryota; Metazoa; Chordata; Actinopteri; Centrarchiformes; Centrarchidae
Exons: 5
Source: RefSeq, a predicted model, not a curated record